This 2894-nucleotide ribosomal RNA is filed under the name Pseudomonas syringae pv. syringae. RNAcentral's name for it is "23S ribosomal RNA". It matches the Rfam family "Bacterial large subunit ribosomal RNA". The record is from RNAcentral. Lineage: Bacteria; Pseudomonadati; Pseudomonadota; Gammaproteobacteria; Pseudomonadales; Pseudomonadaceae. RNAcentral also lists the same sequence under 2 other names.
GGUCAAGUGAAGAAGCGCAUACGGUGGAUGCCUUGGCAGUCAGAGGCGAUGAAAGACGUGGUAGCCUGCGAAAAGCUUCGGGGAGUCGGCAAACAGACUGUGAUCCGGAGAUGUCUGAAUGGGGGAACCCAGCCAUCAUAAGAUGGUUAUCUUGUACUGAAUACAUAGGUGCAAGAGGCGAACCAGGGGAACUGAAACAUCUAAGUACCCUGAGGAAAAGAAAUCAACCGAGAUUCCCUUAGUAGUGGCGAGCGAACGGGGACCAGCCCUUAAGUUGUAUUGAGAUUAGCGGAACACUCUGGAAAGGGUGGCCAUAGUGGGUGAUAGCCCUGUACGCGAAAAUCCCUUUGCAAUGAAAUCGAGUAGGACGGGGCACGAGAAACCUUGUCUGAAUAUGGGGGGACCAUCCUCCAAGGCUAAAUACUACUGACUGACCGAUAGUGAACCAGUACCGUGAGGGAAAGGCGAAAAGAACCGCGGAGAGCGGAGUGAAAUAGAUCCUGAAACCGUAUGCGUACAAGCAGUGGGAGCCCACUUUGUUGGGUGACUGCGUACCUUUUGUAUAAUGGGUCAGCGACUUAUUUUCAGUGGCGAGCUUAACCGAAUAGGGGAGGCGUAGCGAAAGCGAGUCUUAAUAGGGCGUCUAGUCGCUGGGAAUAGACCCGAAACCGGGCGAUCUAUCCAUGGGCAGGUUGAAGGUUGGGUAACACUAACUGGAGGACCGAACCGACUACCGUUGAAAAGUUAGCGGAUGACCUGUGGAUCGGAGUGAAAGGCUAAUCAAGCUCGGAGAUAGCUGGUUCUCCUCGAAAGCUAUUUAGGUAGCGCCUCAUGUAUCACUGUAGGGGGUAGAGCACUGUUUCGGCUAGGGGGUCAUCCCGACUUACCAAACCGAUGCAAACUCCGAAUACCUACAAGUGCCGAGCAUGGGAGACACACGGCGGGUGCUAACGUCCGUCGUGAAAAGGGAAACAACCCAGACCGUCAGCUAAGGUCCCAAAGUCAUGGUUAAGUGGGAAACGAUGUGGGAAGGCUUAGACAGCUAGGAGGUUGGCUUAGAAGCAGCCACCCUUUAAAGAAAGCGUAAUAGCUCACUAGUCGAGUCGGCCUGCGCGGAAGAUGUAACGGGGCUCAAACCAUGCACCGAAGCUACGGGUAUCAUCUUAGGAUGAUGCGGUAGAGGAGCGUUCUGUAAGCCUGUGAAGGUGAGUUGAGAAGCUUGCUGGAGGUAUCAGAAGUGCGAAUGCUGACAUGAGUAACGACAAUGGGUGUGAAAAACACCCACGCCGAAAGACCAAGGUUUCCUGCGCAACGUUAAUCGACGCAGGGUUAGUCGGUCCCUAAGGCGAGGCUGAAAAGCGUAGUCGAUGGAAAACAGGUUAAUAUUCCUGUACUUCUGGUUAUUGCGAUGGAGGGACGGAGAAGGCUAGGCCAGCCUGGCGUUGGUUGUCCAGGUUUAAGGUGGUAGGCUGAGAUCUUAGGUAAAUCCGGGAUCUUAAGGCCGAGAGCUGAUGACGAGUGUUCUUUUAGAACACGAAGUGGUUGAUGCCAUGCUUCCAAGAAAAGCUUCUAAGCUUCAGGUAACCAGGAACCGUACCCCAAACCGACACAGGUGGUUGGGUAGAGAAUACCAAGGCGCUUGAGAGAACUCGGGUGAAGGAACUAGGCAAAAUGGCACCGUAACUUCGGGAGAAGGUGCGCCGGUGGAGGUGAAGCAUUUACUGCGUAAGCCCCUGCCGGUCGAAGAUACCAGGCCGCUGCGACUGUUUAUUAAAAACACAGCACUCUGCAAACACGAAAGUGGACGUAUAGGGUGUGACGCCUGCCCGGUGCCGGAAGGUUAAUUGAUGGGGUUAGCGCAAGCGAAGCUCUUGAUCGAAGCCCCGGUAAACGGCGGCCGUAACUAUAACGGUCCUAAGGUAGCGAAAUUCCUUGUCGGGUAAGUUCCGACCUGCACGAAUGGCGUAACGAUGGCGGCGCUGUCUCCACCCGAGACUCAGUGAAAUUGAAAUCGCUGUGAAGAUGCAGUGUAUCCGCGGCUAGACGGAAAGACCCCGUGAACCUUUACUAUAGCUUUGCACUGGACUUUGAAUUUGCUUGUGUAGGAUAGGUGGGAGGCUUUGAAGCGUGGACGCCAGUCUGCGUGGAGCCAACCUUGAAAUACCACCCUGGCAACUUUGAGGUUCUAACUCAGGUCCGUUAUCCGGAUCGAGGACAGUGUAUGGUGGGUAGUUUGACUGGGGCGGUCUCCUCCUAAAGAGUAACGGAGGAGUACGAAGGUGCGCUCAGACCGGUCGGAAAUCGGUCGUAGAGUAUAAAGGCAAAAGCGCGCUUGACUGCGAGACAGACACGUCGAGCAGGUACGAAAGUAGGUCUUAGUGAUCCGGUGGUUCUGUAUGGAAGGGCCAUCGCUCAACGGAUAAAAGGUACUCCGGGGAUAACAGGCUGAUACCGCCCAAGAGUUCAUAUCGACGGCGGUGUUUGGCACCUCGAUGUCGGCUCAUCACAUCCUGGGGCUGAAGCCGGUCCCAAGGGUAUGGCUGUUCGCCAUUUAAAGUGGUACGCGAGCUGGGUUUAGAACGUCGUGAGACAGUUCGGUCCCUAUCUGCCGUGGACGUUUGAGAUUUGAGAGGGGCUGCUCCUAGUACGAGAGGACCGGAGUGGACGAACCUCUGGUGUUCCGGUUGUCACGCCAGUGGCAUUGCCGGGUAGCUAUGUUCGGAAAAGAUAACCGCUGAAAGCAUCUAAGCGGGAAACUUGCCUCAAGAUGAGAUCUCACUGGAACCUUGAGUUCCCUAAAGGGCCGUCGAAGACUACGACGUUGAUAGGUUGGGUGUGUAAGCGCUGUGAGGCGUUGAGCUAACCAAUACUAAUUGCCCGUGAGGCUUGACCAU